GGAAGGACGGCGCACUCGGUGAAGUAAAGCGUUACAGUAACCGAAGGAAGAGAAAUCAAAUGAGAUGUCGGUAGUAAGGGCGACUGAACCCGACUUAAGGCAAACUGAAUCUUACCAGUAAUGGUUAAGAAAUGUGGUGUUGCAGGACUUGCUUUCAACCCUAAUCACUCGAUCCAAAGUUUCCUGGAAAGUUACACCUUAGAGGGUGAUAGUCCCGUAGGUUUUAUGGAAUAGGAUACUGGAGAUUUCAAGAGUACUGUUUAUUGGAUUUUAAGCAGGAAUGUAGGAGGCAUCAACUUCUAACCUUAAAUACAUUUAGAGUCCGAUAGCGCACUAGUACCGUGAGGGAAAGUUGAAAAGAACCCCUAUCAGGGAGUAAAAAGAGUCUGAAAUCUAAUAGUUAUGGUAAGAUACUGCUCUUAGGAGUUGUAUCGUACGUUUAGAAUAACGUGCCAGGGAGUUUAUCUGAGUGGCAAGAAUAAUUUUUUCAAAAAGGAUUCGUAGGGAAACCAAUAUCCACGCAAUUUAUGAGGUGGAAGGUAUUAAACUACCUAUAGUCACUUGGAUAUGACCCGAAACCGGACGAUCUAACCUUGGGCAAGGUGAAGUAUGGGUAAAACCAUAUGGAGGCCUGAAGAGUUGCUACGAGCAAGUGUUCUUCUGACCUGGGAUUAGGGGUGAAAAGCCAAUCGAGACCGGUGAUAGCUGGUUCCUGCCAAAGUUGGCCUUAGUCAAGUCUCAGACGAGAUUGCUAGGAUUGUAGAGCUACGGAUUGGGGAUUUUGGGGCUUAACCGCUUCGGUCUCCUCUCCAACUCCGAAGGUUCUAGCGUUGUAGACUCUGGGAAACGGGGGCGCGGGGUAAGCUUGCGUCCCGAGAGGGGAACAACCCAGACUAUAGUUAAGGUCCCAAAAUACUAACUAAGUGUUAAAGGGUGAAAGGUGUAUAACACCUAAGACAGAUGGGAGGUAAGCUUAGAAGCAGC
RNAcentral lists this ribosomal RNA (984 nucleotides) under Candidatus Woesearchaeota archaeon. RNAcentral describes it as "partial 23S ribosomal RNA". It matches the Rfam family "Archaeal large subunit ribosomal RNA", at positions 151 to 1202 of the family's 2987-position model. Lineage: Archaea; Nanobdellati; Candidatus Woesearchaeota. The record is from RNAcentral.